RNAcentral lists this ribosomal RNA (418 nucleotides) under uncultured bacterium. RNAcentral's name for it is "bacterial SSU rRNA". It matches the Rfam family "Bacterial small subunit ribosomal RNA", at positions 355 to 787 of the family's 1533-position model. The record is from RNAcentral.
UGGGGAAUAUUGGGCAAUGGGCGCAAGCCUGACCCAGCAACGCCGCGUGAAGGAAGAAGGCUUUCGGGUUGUAAACUUCUUUUCUGAGGGACGAUAGUGACGGUACCUCAGGAAUAAGCCACGGCUAACUACGUGCCAGCAGCCGCGGUAAUACGUAGGUGGCAAGCGUUAUCCGGAUUUACUGGGUGUAAAGGGCGUGUAGGCGGGACUGCAAGUCAGAUGUGAAAAGCCAGAGGCUCAACCUCUGGCCUGCAUUUGAAACUGUAGUUCUUGAGUGUUGGAGAGGCAGGCGGAAUUCCGUGUGUAGCGGUGAAACUGCGUAGAUAUACGGAGGAACACCAGUGGCGAAGGCGGCCUGCUGGACAAUAACUGACGCUGAGGCGCGAAAGCGUAGGGAGCAAAUCAGGAUUAGAUACCC